CCUACGGGGGGCUGCAGUCGAGAAUCAUUCACAAUGGGGGAAACCCUGAUGGUGCGACGCCGCGUGGGGGAAUGAAGGUCUUCGGAUUGUAAACCCCUGUCAUGUGGGAGCAAAUUAAAAAGAUAGUACCCCAAGAGGAAGAGACGGCUAACUCUGUGCCAGCAGCCGCGGUAAUACAGAGGUCUCAAGCGUUGUUCGGAAUCACUGGGCGUAAAGCGUGCGUAGGCUGUUUCGUAAGUCGUGUGUGAAAGGCGCGGGCUCAACCCGCGGACGGCACAUGAUACUGCGAGACUAGAGUAAUGGAGGGGGAACCGGAAUUCUCGGUGUAGCAGUGAAAUGCGUAGAUAUCGAGAGGAACACUCGUGGCGAAGGCGGGUUCCUGGACAUUAACUGACGCUGAGGCACGAAGGCCAGGGGAGCGAAAGGGAUUAGAUACCCGAGUAGUC
Molecule: ribosomal RNA, 446 nt
Filed under: uncultured bacterium
Lineage: Bacteria
Description: partial 16S ribosomal RNA
Rfam family: Bacterial small subunit ribosomal RNA
Source: RNAcentral